AUUUUCUUCUCCAACCAGACGUGAGCUUCUUCAAAGAUUAUGAUUGAUUUGCAAUUGAAGUAAGUCAAGUACAAAAAGGGUUUAUUAUGGACAAUAGUGAGGCACAUAUUUUUGAAAGAUAUAAAGUGUCAAGGU
This is a long non-coding RNA of Hibiscus syriacus, 135 nucleotides long. RefSeq lists it as uncharacterized. The transcript has 2 exons. Lineage: Eukaryota; Viridiplantae; Streptophyta; Magnoliopsida; Malvales; Malvaceae. The record is from RefSeq and is a predicted model, not a curated record.